Oryza barthii is the source of this 205-nucleotide non-coding RNA. The record is from Rfam. Lineage: Eukaryota; Viridiplantae; Streptophyta; Magnoliopsida; Poales; Poaceae.
AAAAAGGCAAACCCUGGGUUUCCGUGUCCAACUUUGACUGUCCGUCUUAUAUGAAAUUUUUUUAUAAUUCGUAUUUUUAUUGUUGUUAGAUGAUAAAACAUGAUUAAUAUUUUAUGCGUGACUUGUCUUUUUAUUUUUUUUUUCAUAAACUUUUUAAAUAAGACGGACGGUUAAGUGUCAAGUGAGUGCAUUGUCGAAUCGUAAC